UACAGAGGUCUCGAGCGUUGUUCGGAUUCAUUGGGCGUAAAGGGUGCGUAGGUGGCGCUGUAAGUCGGGUGUGAAAUCCUGAGGCUUAACCUCGGAACUGCAUUCGAUACUGCGGCGCUUGAGGACUGGAGAGGAGACUGGAAUUCAUGGUGUAGCAGUGAAAUGCGUAGAGAUCAUGAGGAACACCAGUGGCGAAGGCGGCUCGCUGGACCGGAACUGACGCUGAGGCGCGAAAGCGUGGGGAGCAAACGGG
RNAcentral lists this ribosomal RNA (253 nucleotides) under uncultured bacterium. RNAcentral's name for it is "partial 16S ribosomal RNA". It matches the Rfam family "Bacterial small subunit ribosomal RNA", at positions 524 to 776 of the family's 1533-position model. The record is from RNAcentral.